Podarcis lilfordi (Lilford's wall lizard) is the source of this 71-nucleotide non-coding RNA. The record is from the annotation of a GenBank genome assembly. Lineage: Eukaryota; Metazoa; Chordata; Lepidosauria; Squamata; Lacertidae.
GGGCCACAGCUCAGGGGUAGAGCGGCUGCCUUGCAUGGAGAAGGUCCCAGGUUCAAACCCCAGUGGCACCU